Molecule: ribosomal RNA, 404 nt
Filed under: uncultured bacterium
Lineage: Bacteria
Description: partial 16S ribosomal RNA
Rfam family: Bacterial small subunit ribosomal RNA
Source: RNAcentral
GACGAACGCUGGCGGCGUGCUUAACACAUGCAAGUCGAGCGGAGCGGCGAACGGGUGAGUUACGCGUGAGUAACUGCCCCCCUCUCUGGGAUCACAGUUGGAGACGGCUGCUAAUACCGGAUAGUGGGGGAUGUGUCGCGUCCUGUCGGCUGGUGGGUGGGGUAGUGGCCUACCAGGGGGACGGGGGGUAGCCGGCCUGGGCGGGGAAACGGCCACAAUGGGCUAGGAGACGGCUCAAGAUCCUACGGGAGGCAGCGGUGGGGAAUAUUGCACAAUGGGGGAAACCCUGAUGAAGCAACACGGGUGCGGAAUGAUGGCCUGCGGGUUGUAAACCGCUUUCAGCCAUGACGCGGUAGUGGAAGAAGAAGCACCGGCUAACUACGUGCCAGCAGCCGCGGUAAUUC